RNAcentral lists this ribosomal RNA (420 nucleotides) under uncultured bacterium. Its description in RNAcentral is "bacterial SSU rRNA". It matches the Rfam family "Bacterial small subunit ribosomal RNA", at positions 356 to 773 of the family's 1533-position model. The record is from RNAcentral.
AAGGAAUAUUGGUCAAUGGACGCAAGUCUGAACCAGCCAUGCCGCGUGGAGGAUGAAGGCCCUCUGGAUUGUAAACUUCUUUUAUCUGGGACGAAACACUCCUAUUCUUAGGGGCCUGACGGUACCAGAUGAAUAAGCACCGGCUAACUCCGUGCCAGCAGCCGCGGUAAUACGGAGGGUGCAAGCGUUAUCCGGAUUCACUGGGUUUAAAGGGUGCGUAGGUGGGUAUGUAAGUCAGUGGUGAAAUCCCCGAGGUUAACUUGGGAACUGCCGUUGAUACUAUAUAUCUUGAAUGCCGUAGAGGUAAGCGGAAGAUGUCAUUUAGCGGUGAAAUGCUUAGAGAUGACAUAGAACACAAAUCGCGAAGGCAGCUUACUAUGCGGUGAUUGACACUGAUGCACGAAAGCGUGGGUAGCAAAC